This 436-nucleotide ribosomal RNA is filed under the name uncultured Leifsonia sp. RNAcentral's name for it is "bacterial SSU rRNA". It matches the Rfam family "Bacterial small subunit ribosomal RNA", at positions 958 to 1387 of the family's 1533-position model. Lineage: Bacteria; Bacillati; Actinomycetota; Actinomycetes; Micrococcales; Microbacteriaceae. The record is from RNAcentral.
AACGCGAAGAACCUUACCAAGGCUUGACAUAUACGAGAACGGGCCAGAAAUGGUCAACUCUUUGGACACUCGUAUACAGGUGGUGCAUGGUUGUCGUCAGCUCGUGUCGUGAGAUGUUCGGUUAAGUCCGGCAACGAGCGCAACCCUCGCUCUAUGUUGCCAGCACGUUAUGGUGGGAACUCAUAGGAGACUGCCGGGGUCAACUCGGAGGAAGGUGGGGAUGACGUCAAAUCAUCAUGCCCCUUAUGUCUUGGGCUUCACGCAUGCUACAAUGGCCGGUACAAUGGGCUGCAAUACCGUAAGGUGGAGCGAAUCCCAAAAAGCCGGUCUCAGUUCGGAUUGAGGUCUGCAACUCGACCUCAUGAAGUCGGAGUCGCUAGUAAUCGCAGAUCAGCAACGCUGCGGUGAAUACGUUCCCGGGCCUUGUACACCACCG